RNAcentral lists this ribosomal RNA (501 nucleotides) under uncultured bacterium. Its description in RNAcentral is "bacterial SSU rRNA". It matches the Rfam family "Bacterial small subunit ribosomal RNA", at positions 29 to 524 of the family's 1533-position model. The record is from RNAcentral.
AAUGAACGCUGGCGGCGCGCCUAAUACAUGCAAGUCGAGCGAGAAGACGUAGCAAUACGUUUGUAAAGCGGCGAACGGGUGAGGAAUACAUGGGUAACCUACCCUCGAGUGGGGAAUAACUAGCCGAAAGGUUAGCUAAUACCGCGUACGCUCCUUGGACUUCGGUUCAGGGAGGAAAGCGAUACCGUGGUAUCGCGCUCUUGGUUGGGCUCAUGUCCUAUCAGCUUGUUGGUGAGGAACGGCUCACCAAGGCUUCGACGGGUAGCUGGUCUGAGAGGACGAUCAGCCACACUGGCACUGCGACACGGGCCAGACUCCUACGGGAGGCAGCAGUAAGGAAUAUUGCGCAAUGGGCGAAAGCCUGACGCAGCGACGCCGCGUGGGGGAGUGAAGGUCUUCGGAUUGUAAACCCCUUUCGGGAGGGAAGAUGGAACGAGCAAUCGUUCGGACGGUACCUCCAGAAGCAGCCACGGCUAACUUCGUGCCAGCCGCCGCCGUAAC